CAACCCAAAGCAUUCUAUGGUUCUAUGAUUCUCGCAUCCAAGCAGGAUGAAGACUCAGACAUAACGUACAGGGUAUCUGAGGGUUAAGUCAGCCUGUUGCAGGACGCUGGCGAUGACCCAGAAAGCGGCACAACUCCUGCCUGCAGCAAGUGCUUAGACUUCUCCCUCCAGGGCCGCUGUUUGCUGCAGUUCCUGAGAGCACCAAACCAUGCACAACUUGCGGGGAUGGGGAGUGAACCUGGAGUCUCAGGACGACCAAGUCCAGGGCAUUGUCUUGGCCAGAAGAGUCAUUUCAGAGAACUGAAAUAGUAACAGUGAAGAGCUACCACCAGGCAGUGACAGCAUUGUGUAAAACAAAUAGGUUUGGGUCUUACACAGUACACUAUAUUUAACAGCAUCUAAUUGCAUGAUAUAAUUACUACUGUACAUAAUUACCUAGUUAAAAAAAAAAAAA
Molecule: long non-coding RNA, 454 nt
Organism: Egretta garzetta (little egret)
Lineage: Eukaryota; Metazoa; Chordata; Aves; Pelecaniformes; Ardeidae
Exons: 2
Source: RefSeq, a predicted model, not a curated record